CGCGUAGGCGGCAAGGCAAGUCAAAUGUGAAAUCCCCGGGCUCAACCUGGGAAUUGCAUCUGAAACUGCAGUGCUUGAGUCCUGGAGGGGAUAGUGGAAUUCCCAGUGUAGCGGUGAAAUGCGUAGAUAUUGGGAGGAACACCUGCGGCGAAGGCGGCUAUCUGGACAGUGACUGACGCUGAUGCGCGAAAGCCAGGGGAGCGAACGG
This 208-nucleotide ribosomal RNA is filed under the name uncultured bacterium. Its description in RNAcentral is "partial 16S ribosomal RNA". It matches the Rfam family "Bacterial small subunit ribosomal RNA", at positions 568 to 775 of the family's 1533-position model. The record is from RNAcentral.